AAUCCAGGAGGGCAAUCUUGAGUAUAAUCAUUAAGCCGUCCCCAUGCUUCAUGGAAACUUUCAUUGAUUCCUUGCUUAAACCCUAUUAUGUCACUUUUCACUUU
Molecule: small nucleolar RNA, 104 nt
Organism: Arabidopsis thaliana (thale cress)
Lineage: Eukaryota; Viridiplantae; Streptophyta; Magnoliopsida; Brassicales; Brassicaceae
Rfam family: Plant small nucleolar RNA R71
About the family: R71 is a member of the C/D box family of snoRNAs containing the C (UGAUGA) and D (CUGA) box motifs. Multiple nearly identical copies of this snoRNA have been identified in Arabidopsis, and it is thought to function as a 2'-O-ribose methylation guide for 18S ribosomal RNA.
Source: Rfam